RNAcentral lists this ribosomal RNA (298 nucleotides) under uncultured bacterium. Its description in RNAcentral is "partial 16S ribosomal RNA". It matches the Rfam family "Bacterial small subunit ribosomal RNA", at positions 335 to 650 of the family's 1533-position model. The record is from RNAcentral.
GUCCUACGGGGGGCAGCAGUCGGGAAUAUUGCGCAAUGGAGGAAACUCUGACGCAGUGACGCCGCGUGCAGGAAGAAGGUUUUCGGAUUGUAAACUGCUUUAGACAGGGAAGAAAAAAGACAGUACCUGUAGAAUAAGCUCCGGCUAACUACGUGCCAGCAGCCGCGGUAAUACGUAGGUGGCAAGCGUUAUCCGGAUUUAUUGGGUGUAAAGGGCGUGUAGGCGGGAGCGCAAGUCAGAUGUGAAAACUCAGGGCUCAACCCUGAGCCUGCAUUUGAAACUGUGUUUCUUGAAUGCU